RNAcentral lists this ribosomal RNA (460 nucleotides) under uncultured bacterium. RNAcentral describes it as "partial 16S ribosomal RNA". It matches the Rfam family "Bacterial small subunit ribosomal RNA", at positions 338 to 795 of the family's 1533-position model. The record is from RNAcentral.
CCUACGGGAGGCAGCAGUGAGGAAUAUUGGUCAAUGGACGAGAGUCUGAACCAGCCAAGUAGCGUGAAGGAUGACUGCCCUAUGGGUUGUAAACUUCUUUUAUAUGGGAAUAAAACAGGGUAUGCAUACCCUCUUGUAUGUAACAUAUGAAUAAGGAUCGGCUAACUCCGUGCCAGCAGCCGCGGGAAUACGGAGGAUCCGAGCGUUAUCCGGAUUUAUUGGGUUUACAGGGAGCGUAGGUGGCAUGUUAAGUCAGUUGUGAAAGUUUGCGGCUCAACCGUAAAAUUGCAGUUGAAACUGGCAGUCGUGAGUACAGUAGAGGUGGGCGGAAUUCGUGGUGUAGCGGUGAAAUGCUUAGAUAUCACGAAGAACUCCGAUUGCGAAGGCAGCUCACUGGACUGCAACUGACACUGAUGCUCGAAAGUGUGGGUAUCAAACAGGAUUAGAUACCCGAGUAGUC